RNAcentral lists this microRNA (22 nucleotides) under Sphenodon punctatus (tuatara). Its description in RNAcentral is "Spt-Mir-196-P1_3p* (star (passenger))". RNAcentral also lists the same sequence under 3 other names. The record is from RNAcentral. Lineage: Eukaryota; Metazoa; Chordata; Lepidosauria; Sphenodontia; Sphenodontidae.
CUACAGCACGAAACUGCCUUAA